GAAGGUAGCGUAAUCAUUUGUCUUUUAAAUAGAGACCUGUAUGAAUGGCAUAACGAGGGUUUAACUGUCUCCCUCCCCCAGUCAAUGAAAUUGAUCUGCCCGUGCAGAAGCGGACAUAAACACAUAAGACGAGAAGACCCUAUGGAGCUUUAGACAAAAGAUCAAACAUGUAAAGAAACCAAACCAACCAAAAGGAACACAAAGGCCACAAAACCCAACGUAAAAUGAUCAAAAUGUCUUCGGUUGGGGCGACCAUGGGGGAAAGAAAAGCCCCCACGAGGAACUAAGGGCAAUCCAUUAAGCUAAGAGAUACACCUCUAAGCAACAGAAAAUCUGACCAAAAAUGACCCAGGACACUAAUCCUGAUCAACGAACCAAGUUACCCUAGGGAUAACAGCGCAAUCCUUUCCCAGAGUCCAUAUCGACGAAAGGGUUUACGACCUCGAUGUUGGAUCAGGACAUCCUAAUGGUGCAGCCGCUAUUAAGGGUUCGUUUGUUCAACGAUUAA
This 508-nucleotide ribosomal RNA is filed under the name Anguilla marmorata (giant mottled eel). Its description in RNAcentral is "partial large subunit ribosomal RNA". It matches the Rfam family "Bacterial large subunit ribosomal RNA", at positions 1952 to 2591 of the family's 2925-position model. The record is from RNAcentral. Lineage: Eukaryota; Metazoa; Chordata; Actinopteri; Anguilliformes; Anguillidae.